Molecule: non-coding RNA, 184 nt
Organism: Caenorhabditis elegans
Lineage: Eukaryota; Metazoa; Nematoda; Chromadorea; Rhabditida; Rhabditidae
Source: Ensembl
ACAGAGUUCCCCUGCGUAAAAAAAGUUGGACUGGUCAAGGCCAAGAACAAAAUGUUAAGUGAUAGGAGAUGGACAAGGAUGCCAAGUGGGUAUGCGGUGAGAGUCGGAGAGGGCAGGCACAUCCACGGGAGCAUCCCAAGUCUCUGUACUAGCGGGACUCCGCCGCCGUUGCCGAGGCUGCAUU